GGAGGCAAGGUGGUUGUUCAGCAGGUUAUGAAGGUGGGUCCCUGAAAGAAAGCCUGCAUUUCAUGUCAGGCUGAGGAGAAGUAGGAGGACAAUCAGGUGAAAACCUGGGAGGUGAAGAUGGAAGGAAUGGUUUGAAGACGUGCUCUGAAAGUGUCAUUGAAUCCAAAGCUUGAUCUUCCUUUAAUUGCUGUGUGAAACUGGACAUCACCAUCAAAAUGGGCAAUGAGAACAGUAGUGCAGAAAACCAGAGUGCUCCACAAGACUCAGAAUUAGGCCAACCUCCUGGGAAUGGGCAUGGUUUAAAAAGAAGCCCUCAGGAAAGCAGCCUAGAAAGACCUGGAGGUCAAGACACCUCAGAUCUUCCUGCUGCUGUGCAACUGGCUGAGAGCGCAUCUCCAUCAAUCCCAAAGCCUACAAGGUAAGACAUGAAGUUUCACCCUGUGAAUAGAAUUGAAGCACUGCUGCUGUUGAUGGUUGGGGACUGUUUGUUAAGUUUCUGUUCUUGUGUAGCUGAUUUUCAAGCUCUAUCAUCCUGAUGGAUGAUGGCGAUGCAGCCUUCAAAAUAACCUGACGAAACAAGACUGCUUACUGUUUACUAAACUGACUUUCUUGCCUUUCUGCGUAACUAUAAACAAGACUCCAGCUGUUGUAGUAACCCUUGACCUAAACUUUCUAUGCUUUUGCUCAUACUAAUAAAUUCUCCUCUGAGAC
Molecule: long non-coding RNA, 711 nt
Filed under: Strigops habroptila (Kakapo)
Lineage: Eukaryota; Metazoa; Chordata; Aves; Psittaciformes; Psittacidae
Description: lncRNA (ENSSHBG00005003638.1)
Source: RNAcentral